Prunus persica (peach) is the source of this 1136-nucleotide long non-coding RNA. RefSeq lists it as uncharacterized. The record is from RefSeq and is a predicted model, not a curated record. NCBI's taxonomy places the organism in Eukaryota, Viridiplantae, Streptophyta, Magnoliopsida, Rosales, Rosaceae. The transcript is spliced from 2 exons.
UAUAAAAUCCAAAACAAAAAGACCAUUUUAGUAUUUAAGCAAAUUUUUAUAACAAAUAAUUAUACCCGUAGUUAUAACAAACAAUAUAACAUGAAACAACAUAUGCUUUUGAAACCGUUUCUUCAAGCACCCCGUUGUGUGAAUUUCACAAAUUUACGCCAUCGUUUUCUUCCAAUCAUUUUCACAAGUACAAGAUAUCCCACAGAUAUUCCAAUUACCACCCUAGAUGCAUACCCCAUCCACACUACCUUCCAAUCAAAUCCAUUCUCUUGCUCCAAAUUAUUAUCUUUCUAGAAUGAAGAUGGCGGCCAAAUUAUUUUCCACUGUAUGAAUCAUUUUUAAAUGUACCAAAUUGCUUGCCCUGAGGUAUGAACCCCGCAAGUCGGUUUUUUGAAACGUUAAACUUUUCAAGCCAUGUCAAAUAUGCCAAUUCCCACGCAAUCUCACCCACAAGCUUGUUUGGAGAGAGAUCUAACCAUCCAAGAACGCUCAAAUUGAUCUUUCUUUCCUUGUAUUUUAGCAUUAUUGGGUCUUGGUCCUAGAUCUAGGGUCCAGGUCUUGGGUUCGUGAUCUCUUGUUUCGAGCUCAGUUUUCACAUCGGAGUUUGGGACUCUGGGCAGAGUUUGGUGCUCAGAAGUCAGGAUCAAGGUUUGGAUUGCAGGGUCUAGCUGGGGGGUUUAGGGAGAUCAGGUAUCCUCAGUAUGCAAAAGCUUCCCUUUGUCAAGCUUGUUAUAUAGCGAUAUAUUUUGGAAAUAUGGAUAAGAUGGUUGCAGCAAUGCGAGCUUUUAAUGGCUUGUACAAGACUCUUUUCUUAAGCAGAAGAGCUUUUGCAGAAUUCACUUAUCAUCAAGGUUUGAGAGGGAAGGAAUUGAUGCAGGCUCUAUGGAAGGCCCAUAGACAUGAUUUUGUUAUGGGGAGAGGAUCUGCUCUGUCUGAUUGCUUUUGUGAGUUCAAAUUAUGUUUUCAGAUGUCAAUUUGAUCUUUCUUUCCUUUAGUUUGUUUUCUCUUUUUCCUUUAAAAAUCCUAUGUAACUGCCAUUACUAAGGUGGCGUUUGGGAGUGUUCUUGUUUUAAAAAAAUUUGGAAACUAAAGCGUUUGGUAAAACCAAUGAACGCAGCUUAUUUUAGAAAUUGCAG